CUAUCGCAAAGUUAAGUUUUUGAGUUUCGCGGUUGAUUGAUCGGAAGUAUGGAAUUUGAUUUGAUGUAGUGAAUAAGAGCUGACGUUUACUCUUUAAGUUAAAUCGCCAGGUUACUGUUUAUGAAAUGAAGUUAGAAAUUUAUAUGCAGUGAAAAAUUCCUGUUAAGAUGUUUCUGGAGGUUAUUCAUCUUUUGAUGUAGCUUAAAGAAGGUGUGUGGGGUCUCGAAACUCGCCGUGUCCUGUGAUUGUGUUAUAAUAUAUGUAUUGUUUCUUGCAGGAUAAAUGAGAAAAAAGAAAUUUUGCACUUCCCCAGGGUUUUUGUCAUCCAGUAGGGAGACAGGUUUGAAACUCUUCAACUUUCCCCGGUAUUCAUCACAGGCUAUGAUGUGGGCAGGAAGAAUUGGGAUAUCCUGCACUAUUGAUUCUGCUAGAAUGCUGCACUAUAAAUUUUUGUGCAGUAGAAAGUGAUUUCACUACAGCUGAACAGAUUUGCAGUUCCAUGUAGCUCAGAUUCUGGAGCACAAUCACUCCCACAGCCUCCUGAUCAUUACACACCAUUUCAGCCUGAUGAAACGCAACCAUGAGGAGUUAAUUAUGGGCAUGAUCAAGAGAGGUCUGGUUCUGGAUCACUGCAAAUCACCAUGUGAGGAGAACUUCGUACAAGACAAG
Molecule: long non-coding RNA, 669 nt
Organism: Cryptotermes secundus
Lineage: Eukaryota; Metazoa; Arthropoda; Insecta; Blattodea; Kalotermitidae
Exons: 3
Source: RefSeq, a predicted model, not a curated record